ACAUACGACCAUAGAUUGAGGAGAAUUGGGCAUCCCGUCCGCUCUGCAUACACAAGCCUCAAUCGGCAGUCUAGUAGUUGGUGGGUGACCACCAGCGAAUCCCUGCUGUUGUAUGUU
RNAcentral lists this ribosomal RNA (117 nucleotides) under Blumeria hordei DH14. Lineage: Eukaryota; Fungi; Ascomycota; Leotiomycetes; Helotiales; Erysiphaceae. The record is from RNAcentral.